Molecule: non-coding RNA, 1494 nt
Organism: Macaca mulatta (Rhesus monkey)
Lineage: Eukaryota; Metazoa; Chordata; Mammalia; Primates; Cercopithecidae
Source: RefSeq, a predicted model, not a curated record
CCCAACUUUCUGAUUUGACAUCAUUUCCUGUGGACUUGGGUUCCUAUUUAGAGACUAUGUUUGUUGAAACUACAUGAUUAUUUCAGAGAGAAGGCAAGGUCCAUUAUUUCAUUUUUUAGAGAAUUCUAGUCAUAGUGAAAUGCUCAGAGUGAAGAUGCUGGCAAGGAACAAAAUGGAAUUAAUAUCCAUUCAGUUCCCAUUGACUGCCAGAAAAUGGGAUAGAUGUCCUACAUGUUCAGAAUCUCAGGUGACUAUCAUAAGAACCUGGUCAAAAGGCCACCCUGGCAAACUAAGAACACAGAAUUUUAUUACAGCUGCUGGAUAUGAAGACUCAGCAUAUGAUAUCGGUGACGUUAACACCCUCCCAGGGAGAAGCGCUGUUCCUUCUGGCUGGGAAGUGCAAGCCGCCUGGCUAAUGUUAUCCAGAUGUAUCGAAACCUCAGGAGUGACAUGGAACGGUAGUCCCUGCUUGAACCACUUACCUGCUUUCCUGACACCAGCAAUCACACACACCUGACACUGACCUGAAGCCUCUGACCUGUCCUCGGAGGCAAAGACCGAGUAGACAAGAUGCCUGGUUACCAGCAAUCGUCUGCAAUUUCCUCUGAGCUAAUGAGAUUGCUUUUCUCUUUGCUCAAAUUAUGUGAGAAUAUUUUUUAAAAGAAUUUAAUGUGCUCUUUUGAUAUUUCAGGUGUUCAGUCAAAAGCCUAUGUUAUUCUCCAUCUCUCUCUCUCUCUCUUUUCCUAGUUGGGUAAUCAAAAUGGCACAACCAGAAAUAUUUAUAUCUGCAACAGAAAAGAAGAAUAAAUGUAUUCAUGCACAAGUACAUUAUAUAUGUAUAUAUGUUUGUGUAUACAUAUAUCUAUAUAAUUGAUAUAUUUGGGAGAAAUAAAAGGUUUCAUUAAGCACACAGGUUCUAGAGUUAGACCCUCUGUUGCAAAUUACUGUCCUGUCACUUAACUCCUGACAGAACAAAGUGCAUACUUGGACAAAAUGCCUGCUCUGUAAAAAUGCCUUGGUCUUGAAUAAAAUGCCUGCUACGUCAAAGCUUUUAUUUUCCCAUCUGGAGAAUGGGAACAAUAAUAAGAACCCUCACUUAACAGAUAAUGGACAAAGGUGCUUACAGCACAGAGCCUGCCACAGACAAUGUCCUCAAUUAAUGCAAACUAUUAAUAUUAUGAAAAGUGAAUAUCUGUUUUCUGACAAUGUUUUCAAUAAUAUAAAUUAUGCCUUUGUUCCCUUUAUUUGUUUGAAAAAAAAAACAAUAAAAAAGCAAACAAAAAAGUGUCUUUAAAGUGUCCAUUUGUCUUUCUUCUAGACUGCUAGUAAUCCUUUCCUGUGUUUAGGGAAUUUUUACCUCAUGGGUUUUGGUGAAUGAAUGAAUUCAUCUGCCUCUACAGAAAAGAAAAUGCCUGAUGCAUUUUCUCAGCCUUUAUUCCAGGUAGUCAGGUAGACUGUGGACUCCAGCAAUUAGACACACUCCUCACAACCUCC